UAACGAUAAGAUAUAUGAGAAUUGUAUCCGCCGUAAAUCUAAGGUUUCCUACGCGAUGGUCGUCAUCGUAGGGUUAGUCGGGUCCUAAGCCGAGUCCGAAAGGGGUAGGUGAUGGCAAAUUGGUUAAUAUUCCAAUACCGACUUAUGGAGCGUGAUGGGGGGACGCAUAGGGUUAAGCGAGCUAGCUGAUGGAAGCGCUAGUCUAAGGGCGUAGAUUGGAGGGAAGGCAAAUCCACCUCUGUAUUUGAAACCCAAACAGGCUCUUUGAGUCCUUUUAGGACAAAGGGAGAAUCGCUGAUACCGUCGUGCCAAGAAAAGCCUCUAAGCAUAUCCAUAGUCGUCCGUACCGCAAACCGACACAGGUAGAUGAGAUGAGUAUUCUAAGGCGCGUGAAAGAACUCUGGUUAAGGAACUCUGCAAACUAGCACCGUAAGUUCGCGAUAAGGUGUGCCACAGCGAUGUGGUCUCAGCAAAGAGUCCCUCCCGACUGUUUACCAAAAACACAGCACUUUGCCAACUCGUAAGAGGAAGUAUAAGGUGUGACGCCUGCCCGGUGCUCGAAGGUUAAGAGGAUGCGUCAGUCGCAAGAUGAAGCGUUGAAUUGAAGCCCGAGUAAACGGCGGCCGUAACUAUAACGGUCCUAAGGUAGCGAAAUUCCUUGUCGGUUAAAUACCGACCUGCAUGAAUGGCGUAACGAGAUGGGAGCUGUCUCAACCAGAGAUUCAGUGAAAUUGUAGUGGAGGUGAAAAUUCCUCCUACCCGCGGCAAGACGGAAAGACCCCGUGGACCUUUACUACAACUUAGCACUGCUAAUGGGAAUAUCAUGCGCAGGAUAGGUGGGAGGCUUUGAAGUAAGGGCUUUGGCUCUUAUGGAGCCAUUCUUGAGAUACCACCCUUGAUGUUUCUGUUAGCUAACUGGCCUGUGUUAUCCACAGGCAGGACAAUGCUUGGUGGGUAGUUUGACUGGGGCGGUCGCCUCCUAAAAAGUAACGGAGGCUUGCAAAGGUUGGCUCAUUGCGGUUGGAAAUCGCAAGUUGAGUGUAAUGGCACAAGCCAGCCUGACUGUAAGACAUACAAGUCAAGCAGAGACGAAAGUCGGUCAUAGUGAUCCGGUGGUUCUGUGUGGAAGGGCCAUCGCUCAAAGGAUAAAAGGUACCCCGGGGAUAACAGGCUGAUCUCCCCCAAGAGCUCACAUCGACGGGGAGGUUUGGCACCUCGAUGUCGGCUCAUCGCAUCCUGGGGCUGGAGCAGGUCCCAAGGGUAUGGCUGUUCGCCAUUUAAAGCGGUACGCGAGCUGGGUUCAGAACGUCGUGAGACAGUUCGGUCCCUAUCUGCCGUGGGCGUAGGAAAGUUGAGGAGAGCUGUCCCUAGUACGAGAGGACCGGGAUGGACGUGUCACUGGUGCACCAGUUGUUCUGCCAAGAGCAUCGCUGGGUAGCUACACACGGAUGUGAUAACUGCUGAAAGCAUCUAAGCAGGAAGCCAACUCCAAGAUGAACUUUCCCUGAAGCUCGCACAAAGACUAUGUGCUUGAUAGGGUAGAUGUGUAAGCGCAGUAAUGCGUUUAGCUGACUACUACUAAUAGAGCGUUUGGCUUGUUUUUU
RNAcentral lists this ribosomal RNA (1604 nucleotides) under Helicobacter pylori GAM93Bi. RNAcentral's name for it is "bacterial LSU rRNA". It matches the Rfam family "Bacterial large subunit ribosomal RNA", at positions 1307 to 2925 of the family's 2925-position model. Lineage: Bacteria; Pseudomonadati; Campylobacterota; Epsilonproteobacteria; Campylobacterales; Helicobacteraceae. The record is from RNAcentral.